UACGUAGGGUGCAAGCGUUGUCCGGAAUUAUUGGGCGUAAAGAGCUCGUAGGCGGUUUGUCGCGUCUGCUGUGAAAACUCAGGGCUUAACCCUGAGCCUGCAGUGGGUACGGGCAGACUAGAGUGUGGUAGGGGAGAUCGGAAUUCCUGGUGUAGCGGUGAAAUGCGCAGAUAUCAGGAGGAACACCGGUGGCGAAGGCGGAUCUCUGGGCCGAUUACUGACGCUGAGGAGCGAAAGCGUGGGGAGCGA
RNAcentral lists this ribosomal RNA (249 nucleotides) under uncultured bacterium. RNAcentral describes it as "partial 16S ribosomal RNA". It matches the Rfam family "Bacterial small subunit ribosomal RNA", at positions 524 to 771 of the family's 1533-position model. The record is from RNAcentral.